CACACCGUAAACGAUGUCUACUAGCUGUUUGUGGAUUUAAUCCGUGAGUAGCGCAGCUAACGCGAUAAGUAGACCGCCUGGGGAGUACGGCCGCAAGGUUAAAACUCAAAUGAAUUGACGGGGGCCCGCACAAGCGGUGGAGCAUGUGGUUUAAUUCGAUGCAACGCGAAGAACCUUACCUACUCUUGACAUCCAGUGAACAUUGCAGAGAUGCAUUGGUGCCUUCGGGAACAUUGAGACAG
RNAcentral lists this ribosomal RNA (242 nucleotides) under uncultured bacterium. RNAcentral's name for it is "partial 16S ribosomal RNA". It matches the Rfam family "Bacterial small subunit ribosomal RNA", at positions 796 to 1037 of the family's 1533-position model. The record is from RNAcentral.